CCUGAGAGGGCGACCGGCCACACUGGGACUGAGACACGGCCCAGACUCCUGCGGGAGGCAGCAGUGGGGAAUAUUGCGCAAUGGGCGAAAGCCUGACGCAGCGACGCCGCGUGGGGGAUGACGGCCUUCGGGUUGUAAACCUCUUUUACCACUCACGCAGGCCCCGCGUUUUCGUGGGGUUGACGGUAGGUGGGGAAUAAGGACCGGCUAACUACGUGCCAGCAGCCGCGGUAAUACGUAGGGUCCGAGCGUUGUCCGGAAUUAUUGGGCGUAAAGAGCUCGUAGGCGGCGUGUCGCGUCUGCUGUGAAAGACCGGGGCUUAACCCCGGUUCUGCAGUGGAUACGGGCAUGCUAGAGGUAGGUAGGGGAGACUGGAAUUCCUGGUGUAGCGGUGAAAUGCGCAGAUAUCAGGAGGAACACCGGUGGCGAAGGCGGGUCUCUGGGCCUUACCUGACGCUGAGGAGCGAAAGCAUGGGGAGCGAACAGGAUUAGAUACCCUGGUAGUCCAUGCCGUAAACGUUGGGCGCUAGGUGUGGGGACUUUCCACGGUUUCCGCGCCGUAGCUAACGCAUUAAGC
Molecule: ribosomal RNA, 577 nt
Filed under: Nocardiopsis sp. NTRJM01
Lineage: Bacteria; Bacillati; Actinomycetota; Actinomycetes; Streptosporangiales; Nocardiopsidaceae
Description: bacterial SSU rRNA
Rfam family: Bacterial small subunit ribosomal RNA
Source: RNAcentral